Molecule: long non-coding RNA, 813 nt
Organism: Bos mutus (wild yak)
Lineage: Eukaryota; Metazoa; Chordata; Mammalia; Artiodactyla; Bovidae
Source: Ensembl
GAAUUUUUUAUCUCCUGGCGGAGACGGAGAUGGGAGGGGGGCGGGACCUCGUUUAGAAGAUUGCGCUCCCUAGCUUGGCAGGAAAAGUUGUUUGUUUUUUUGGCGUUUCUGUGCAUCUUACGGAGGGUCCCCAUCAUCCCCGCGGGGCGCACAAGGAGUUGUGAAAAGUACCGCACAACUGGCCACCGGAAUAAUUCAUCCCCUCCACCUUCUCGUUAGCGCCUCCCACUUCUCUUUUUAUAGCAGUUUCUUUCUCUCGAAAAAUCUCAGGUUACUUGACUGGGAGUUCUCAGACCUCCAGUUUCAGCCCUGCCCUCAGCCUCCAGUCGUUGAGAGAGAGACACCCAGCCCCAGCAAUCGGAUUGGGCAGCCCGCCUUGACACACCACUGUGCUGAGUGCUUGAAGACGUGUUUCACCAGAUGGUUGGGGUUAGCGUGUGUCAUCACAUUCGAGUGGGGAUUAGGAGUAGGAAGGCUGCCUUGCCGGAGCUGUGUGGUCUUCUCCAAGGGAGAAUUGCGGGCAAGAGAACUCCUUUGCUCCGGGGAGAAGAGGAGGAAUUCGUUUUCCGCAGCCACGAGAAAAGCAGUGUUUUCAGGUGCUGACGGCCAGCCCCAUCAUCUGAAGAAGGUGAAUUUGGCGAAUGACAUGCAGGUUCUCCAAGACAGAGUAAUCACAGAAAAUCGUCAAAGGACCCACUCUGCAGAUGUCCUGAACACUUCUGACUACAAUUGAUUCUUCAACCGGGAUACCUAAUUCCAGGUAUUAGCUCUUGUCAGAAAGCUUUUACAUCCGAGCUCUGUGCUGGAAAUUCU